This is a long non-coding RNA of Armigeres subalbatus, 513 nucleotides long. RefSeq lists it as uncharacterized. NCBI's taxonomy places the organism in Eukaryota, Metazoa, Arthropoda, Insecta, Diptera, Culicidae. The record is from RefSeq and is a predicted model, not a curated record. The transcript is spliced from 4 exons.
GCCCGAAUAGAAAUAAAUGUGUGAUAGUGACAAUCGCAUCGGAAACAGAUCCAACUGCCAUCCAAGUUUUAUUGAAGUCAAUGGCGGUGUGCAUUGUGUUUGUGCGAAAGAAAAAAAAAUAACGGAUUAUAAUGCAUAAAUAUCAACCUCAUACCUGUAACGGUUAUAUUGAAAGCACAGAACAGGCACGAGUGUGAGCUCCCUCGGAUGAUCUGUUGACACUGUUUAUACACAUGCAUAGGUGCGCUGGUUCGCAUGUAUGUGAGACCUGAUCAAGUGUUGCAUUUUGCAUCGAGUGUGGAUCGAGGAGUUGAGCUACCGGGAAACAGUACGCCUUUACGCCAUGCGGAUGUGGUUGAGCAGCGAAAAAACGCUUGCGAAGGAACAUGCAGCACCAUCGAAAUCUGCGAAGAGGCACUGAUGAUAAUAACAUAAUUUCAAUAUAAUAUGGUAUGUAAAUAAUAAUUAUAUAAGAUGGUAAAUUAAAUAUAAAUAAAACUUGUUUGAUGAUCA